This is a long non-coding RNA of Aricia agestis (brown argus), 175 nucleotides long. RefSeq lists it as uncharacterized. The record is from RefSeq and is a predicted model, not a curated record. NCBI's taxonomy places the organism in Eukaryota, Metazoa, Arthropoda, Insecta, Lepidoptera, Lycaenidae. The transcript has 3 exons.
GACAAUACUAAUCAAUAAACGAUAUAGACCUGGAGCCAGUGAUAGAUUUUCAUGACCAAGUCCCUCCCAACCGAAACUUCGUUAAAUGAAUAAGGGACUUAUGCUAUGAAUACUCGCGACCGUCAGCUGCGACUCCGUGGGUGGGGUGGGCAGUGACAGCCUCCCAAAGAUGAAG